AGGGCACCACCAGGAGUGGAGCCUGCGGCUUAAUUUGACUCAACACGGGAAACCUCACCCGGCCCGGACACGGACAGGAUUGACAGAUCGAUAGCUCUUUCUCGAUUCCGUGGGUGGUGGUGCAUGGCCGUUCUUAGUUGGUGGAGCGAUUUGUCUGGUUAAUUCCGAUAACGAACGAGACUCUGGCAUGCUAACUAGUUACGCGACCCCCCGAGCGGUCGGCGUCCCCCAACUUCUUAGAGGGACAAGUGGCGUUCAGCCACCCGAGAUUGAGCAAUAACAGGUCUGUGAUGCCCUUAGAUGUCCGGGGCUGCACGCGCGCUACACUGACUGGCUCAGCGUGUGCCUACCCUACGCCGGCAGGCGCGGGUAACCCGUUGAACCCCAUUCGUGAUGGGGAUCGGGGAUUGCAAUUAGUCCCCAUGAACGAGGAAUUCCCAGUAAGUGCGGGUCAUAAGCUUGCGUUGAUUAAGUCCCUGCCCUUUGUACACACCGCCCGUCGUUACUACCGAUUGGAUG
Molecule: ribosomal RNA, 519 nt
Filed under: uncultured eukaryote
Lineage: Eukaryota
Description: SSU rRNA
Rfam family: Eukaryotic small subunit ribosomal RNA
Source: RNAcentral